AACGCACCUUGCGCACCUUGGUAUUCCGAGGUGCAUGCCUGUUUGAGUGUCAUGGAAUUAUCAACCUUUAUUGGCUUUUUCCACAAGGAAAAGGUGUUUACUUUAUAAGGAUUGGAUUUAUGGGAGUUGCUGGCUUCUGAGAGGUUGGCUCUUCUUAAAUGCAUUAGCAAAGAUUGUUGCUGAUCAUCUUUGAUAUGAUAAUUAUCUAUGUCAUUUUUGACCAGCCGUUUGCUUCUAACAGUCUCGUUUAGAGACAGUAUUUUUUGACUAUUUGACCUCAAAUCAGGUAGGACUACCCGCUGAACUUAA
This 309-nucleotide unclassified non-coding RNA is filed under the name uncultured fungus. RNAcentral's name for it is "sequence contains ITS2". The stretch from base 1 to 52 matches the Rfam family "5.8S ribosomal RNA", at positions 103 to 154 of the family's 154-position model. Lineage: Eukaryota; Fungi. The record is from RNAcentral.